This is a long non-coding RNA of Rhipicephalus microplus (southern cattle tick), 293 nucleotides long. The record is from RefSeq and is a predicted model, not a curated record. NCBI's taxonomy places the organism in Eukaryota, Metazoa, Arthropoda, Arachnida, Ixodida, Ixodidae.
CGAUGAUUCCGGCGCAUAGCUUUCGGUGGCACUGUGUUCGCGGGCUUGUGUAGUUGGAAGAUUCAUUUUCCAGUGGAAGCGAGGAUGCUGAAACAGAGUGAAGGAAGGAAACGAGAACAUGGUGACGCACCCUUUUCAUCACACCCUGACCGUGGUGGAAACAACUAAAUGCCAGAAUGGUUCGUGACAUGCAUCGUGGAUGACUCUAGUGGCUCCUCAUUACCAUCCAGGCUACGGCCGCUUAAAAAUAAAUGCAAAUUAAGCAGCACAGAAUGUGGACGCUGCACUACUAA